CCUACGGGAGACAGCAGUGAGGAAUAUUGGUCAAUGGGCGCGAGCCUGAAGCAGCCAAGUCGCGUGAGGGAAGACGGUCCUAGGGAUGGUAAACGUCUUUUGUCGGGGAGCAAAAGACGACACGCGUGGCGUUCCGAGAGUACCCGAAGAAAAAGCAUCGGGUAACUCCGUGCCAGCAGCCGCGGUAAGACGGAGGAUGCGAGCGUUAUCCGGAUUUAUUGGGUUUAAAGGGUGCGGAGGCGGAAGUUCAAGUCAGGGGUAAAAUUGCGACGCUCAACCUCUUCGAGCCGUUGAAACUGGUUGUCUUGAGUUAGCGAGAAGUAUGCGGAAUUCGUGGUGUAGCGGUGAAAUGCAUAGAUAUCACGAAGAACUCCGAUUGCGAAGGCAGCAUACCGGCGCUAUACUGACGCUGAUGCACGAAAGUGUGGGUAUCGAACAGGAUUAGAUACCCGGGUAGUC
This 459-nucleotide ribosomal RNA is filed under the name uncultured bacterium. Its description in RNAcentral is "partial 16S ribosomal RNA". It matches the Rfam family "Bacterial small subunit ribosomal RNA", at positions 338 to 795 of the family's 1533-position model. The record is from RNAcentral.